RNAcentral lists this ribosomal RNA (488 nucleotides) under uncultured prokaryote. Its description in RNAcentral is "bacterial SSU rRNA". It matches the Rfam family "Bacterial small subunit ribosomal RNA", at positions 983 to 1482 of the family's 1533-position model. The record is from RNAcentral.
AANUUGCAGUGGAAUAACGUGGAAACAUGUUAGCCUUCGGGCCGCUGUGAAGGUGCUGCAUGGUUGUCGUCAGCUCGUGCCGUGAGGUGUCGGCUUAAGUGCCAUAACGAGCGCAACCCUCAUCGAUAGUUACUAACAGGUUAAGCUGAGGACUCUAUCGAGACUGCCGACGUAAGUCGUGAGGAAGGUGGGGAUGACGUCAAAUCAGCACGGCCCUUACGUCCAGGGCUACACACGUGUUACAAUGGGGGGUACAAAGGGCAGCUACCUGGCGACAGGAUGCUAAUCUCAAAAACCUCUCUCAGUUCGGAUUGGAGUCUGCAACCCGACUCCAUGAAGCUGGAUUCGCUAGUAAUCGCGCAUCAGCCACGGCGCGGUGAAUACGUUCCCGGGCCUUGUACACACCGCCCGUCAAGCCAUGGGAGCCGGGGGGACCUGAAGUAUGCAACCGUAAGGAGCGUCCUAGGGUAAAACUGGUGACUGGGGCU